GGAUGAAGAACGUAGCGAAAUGCGAUAAGUAAUGUGAAUUGCAGAAUUCAGUGAAUCAUCGAAUCUUUGAACGCACCUUGCACCCUUUGGCAUUCCGAAGGGUAUGCUCGUUUGAGUGUCAUUGUACUCUCACACUCUCCGAUCCUAUGGAUUCGGGGAGCGGUGGACUUGGGUGUUGCCGCCUUUCCCUGUGGCUCACCUCAAAUGCGUCAGUGCACCUCUUGGUUGGACAUAGUACGGCGUGAUAAGUGUCUUCGCCGGCACCUCGCAAGAGGGUGGCCGAUCGGGAGCUCUGCGCUUUCAAACCGUCUUCGGACAAUUUCUGACAUCUUGACCUCAAAUCGAGUAGGACUACCCGCUGAACUUAAGCAUAUCAAUAAGCGGAGGA
Molecule: unclassified non-coding RNA, 388 nt
Filed under: soil metagenome
Description: partial contains 5.8S ribosomal RNA, internal transcribed spacer 2, and large subunit ribosomal RNA
Rfam family: 5.8S ribosomal RNA (bases 2-121)
Source: RNAcentral